CCUACGGGAGGCAGCAGUGGGGAAUAUUAGACAAUGGGCGAAAGCCUGAUCCAGCCAUGCCGCGUGUGUGAAGAAGGUCUUCGGAUUGUAAAGCACUUUAAGUUGGGAGGAAGGGCAGUAAAUUAAUACUUUGCUGUUUUGACGUUACCGACAGAAUAAGCACCGGCUAACUCUGUGCCAGCAGCCGCGGUAAU
This 194-nucleotide ribosomal RNA is filed under the name uncultured bacterium. RNAcentral's name for it is "partial 16S ribosomal RNA". It matches the Rfam family "Bacterial small subunit ribosomal RNA", at positions 338 to 524 of the family's 1533-position model. The record is from RNAcentral.